Gavialis gangeticus (Gharial) is the source of this 1667-nucleotide long non-coding RNA. RefSeq lists it as uncharacterized. Lineage: Eukaryota; Metazoa; Chordata; Crocodylia; Gavialidae. The record is from RefSeq and is a predicted model, not a curated record. The transcript is spliced from 2 exons.
AUUGCUGUUCUUCAUGUCAUUCUUCAGAUCGAACACACAAUAAACUGUUAUAUGAAAUGAUUCUACUGCCUGCUGUAACCAAAACAUUUCUCACCUCUGUUUCCACACACUUAACCCAUGAAAAUAGUGGGGGUUUAGUUUCUAAUGUCCAACAGAGUCUAGUGAUGCUCUUGCAUGAUCAAAAAGAAAAUUGUUGUAUUCAGAACUCAGUUUCCUUGAUUUCCAUCAGAAAGGGAAGAACAGUAUGUCAACUCUGGGCUAUUUAAUGGUUACUAUCAAUCAAAAUAUGCAUGACAUGGGGGAAGAGAGAGAGCAUAAAACUUAGUAUUGCCGCAUACUCCUGUUUUGUACGAGUACUGUUCAUUCUGUUGUGUUAUCUUAAGAAAAAGAUUAAAAGAAAUCAACAAUGUGGUCUGUCACAUUUUUUACAACUUGUUUGCUAGUUUGAUCCAAAAAUCUCUAGAGAGGGCACACAAAUCUGCAGAGCGUCCCUUGUUGAAUUCUCUUAAUUGGAAAGCCCUCAGAUAUUGGUUUUCUUUUGUUUGAAUCAGCUAUAUUAAAGAGGGGUACAAAAUUAUAUGAACAAUGCAUUGAGAAAAAACUCAGAUAUGAUUUAUUCCAUCUAAAGUGCCAUAUAUUCACUUUAGAGACCAAGGAACACCAUAUGCAGACAAAGUGACAUCAGGUAUACUUCGCAAACAGCAGGAGAGGAAUGACUUGGUUAUUUCACGGAACAACCCGUUUUGAAGUUCUACUUUCACAGGUGCUGUGAGCACAUGGAGCCAAGGUCCUGGACAUAUAGGAGGUAACUGUGUUAUCACAAAUUAAUGUGUAUAUUUUAAACAUUGUGGGCCAAAGAAAAAAUUUAAACUGUUUUUAAGGCUGUGUGUUGCUCCCUCUGAAACAAAGCUUAUGGUUCAAAUCUUGGACCAACAAGUUGGUCCAAGAUGUCAUUUUACAGUAUUUAGUUACAGAAAAGAAAGUUUUUGAGAUACUAUAAUUUCUUUUAAAUUGGCCAGCCAGCUAUUUGCUGGUUGAAGUACUAUCUACAAUUCCUUUUAUACCAAUUCUCUUUACCUUUAUCAUUUCACUGUUGCACUGUCUAAUUUCAUCAUCCUAAUUAACAACUAAGUUAUAUUUUGAAAGAAAUGCACUUGGUCCCUCAAAGGUUUAAAUUUUCAGUCCCUAUAAUCAUAUAUCUAAACAGAAGAAGAAGAAACACACACACAGCUGCAUACAAUGGAUCCUUCAAAGUUAUCAACUGCAGCUAAAGCACUUGCUUAUAGAAACAAGACUUUGUGACUGAUUUAUUUGCUAAAAGUCUUCCUGGAGGACUGCCCAGCUGGAGACAAUACUUACCCCUGAGGGCUGAUUACUUGGCUUGCCUCUUGUCCACAUCACCUGAAAGCUGUCACUUCAGCACAAGGAGAGAUCAAGAUGUCCCAUGGGGAAAAAUGAAAAAUAGACACACUGUAAAGUCAUAUCCAUCUUUUUGAAAUAACUGCUGCUUUCCCAGUUGCCAGAAAAUGUGACUAUUUAUACUAAAACUCAUUUAAUAAGGGCAGAAAGAGAAUUAAAAAACCCUGGCAAGGCCUGUUUGUCCACACACUUAGCCUAUUACAGGAUGUAGUGCUAUCUUGCAUGCUAAGAAAAAACAAACAAACAAA